RNAcentral lists this ribosomal RNA (267 nucleotides) under uncultured bacterium. Its description in RNAcentral is "partial 16S ribosomal RNA". It matches the Rfam family "Bacterial small subunit ribosomal RNA", at positions 1226 to 1500 of the family's 1533-position model. The record is from RNAcentral.
UACAAUGGCCGCUACAGAGAGAAACGAAACAGUGAUGUGGAGUAAAACUUAGAAAAAACGGUCUCAGUUCGGAUUNAAGGCUGAAAUUCGCCUUCAUGAAGCUGGAAUUGCUAGUAAUGGCAGGUCAGCAUACUGCCGUGAAUACGUUCCCGGGCCUUGUACACACCGCCCGUCAAGCCAUGGGAGCCGGGGGUACCUGAAGUGCGUAACCGCGAGGAUCGCCCUAGGGUAAAACUGGUGACUGGGGCUAAGUCGUAACAAGGUAUC